This 77-nucleotide transfer RNA is filed under the name Proteiniclasticum ruminis. RNAcentral describes it as "tRNA_Arg_TCG". It matches the Rfam family "tRNA". Rfam says of the family: Transfer RNA (tRNA) molecules are approximately 80 nucleotides in length. Their secondary structure includes four short double-helical elements and three loops (D, anti-codon, and T loops). The record is from RNAcentral. Lineage: Bacteria; Bacillati; Bacillota; Clostridia; Eubacteriales; Clostridiaceae. RNAcentral also lists the same sequence under 1 other name.
GCCUCAUUAGCUCAGUUGGAUAGAGUAGUGGUCUUCGAAACCAUUGGUCGGGCGUUCGAGUCGCUCAUGGGGCACCA